Molecule: regulatory RNA element, 117 nt
Organism: Ruegeria sp. ANG-R
Lineage: Bacteria; Pseudomonadati; Pseudomonadota; Alphaproteobacteria; Rhodobacterales; Roseobacteraceae
Rfam family: ALIL pseudoknot
Source: Rfam
CGCGUAUUUUGCCCAGGCGGAGCUCGACCGCCCACUGAAACGAUGAUCGGGUUCAUCAACGAUCACCGGGCCGAGUAUGGGGUCGAGCCGAUCUGCCGGGUUUUGCCGAUCGCCCCU